AUUUGAUCUGAAAUCAGGUGGGAUUACCCGCUGAACUUAAGCAUAUCAAUAAGCCGGAGGAA
RNAcentral lists this ribosomal RNA (62 nucleotides) under Mucor lusitanicus. RNAcentral's name for it is "Mucor circinelloides f. lusitanicus partial 28S ribosomal RNA". Lineage: Eukaryota; Fungi; Mucoromycota; Mucoromycetes; Mucorales; Mucoraceae. The record is from RNAcentral.